CCUUGGCCCACUGCCCUACGCGCGGUGAGCAGAGCAGCCAAGCCAGAGUGGCAGCCGCAGUGUGGGAGCCCAGCUCUGCUGCCAUAAAUUACCCAGGGGCAGGAAGGAGCAGUGAGAGUCAGCGGUUUCAGCUACCUAGUAGUUCAUUUUUGUUCUUGUUUUUCAGUUAGCAAUCUGUAAAAUUUAUUGCAAAAUUAAGCUCCCUGCUCCAGAGUCAAUAAUAUUCCUGGUGCCAGGUGGUGUAAUAAUUCACCGAAAGGGCAGAAGUUGGAGGGAAUAAGACUGAUUUAGGAAGUAGACUUCCAAGCCCUAUUGCUGCUGCCUAUUCCCUGCUGCUAAAGGUCAGAGUGGCCACCAGCUGAUGAUGAGAUUCACUGAUCCUCACAUCCUCUCCAAUUCUUGAGAUUAUCAUGGCUUAACUGAGAGAUAUUACAUGAUUAACAAACUCAUACUACCCUGGAACCAGCAUCAGUGCUACGGUGGAACCAAGAAUUCACUUCUGCCUCCAUUGUCACUGCCACCAGCAUCUGUCUACUCCCAAGAAACUAAAGGACAGGCACUGGACUGCUACUGCAGAAACACCCACAAUUCCACAGGCUUGCUUGCGUAAGUGGCUGAAAAUCACCUCAACUCUUUUCUACCUUCUAAUGUUAGGUUUUAAUGUCCACCAACAGUGGAGUUGGCUUCCCGGCUGUGAAUAGAUUCAUGGAAGAUGAACAAAAACAAAUGAACAAAUCAAUGACAACAACAGCAACAUCUGUGCAUACUAUAGAAGCAGAUGUGUAAUUAUUUUGUACAUUGGCUUAAUACUGAGAAAGAGACUGAAUAAUUAUUGCACUUCUGGCAAGUCUAUAUAUACUGUCUCCUGACGAAGGACCCUCCAGCAACUUCGGGCUGAAAUGAAGCAGAUUCACUCAAUCCGCACAAACUCUCAGAAAAGUGCAUCUGGAAAAAAAAAAAAAAAGUGACAGGGACUGAGUCCCAGAGAUAUUCCCCAGGAACUCUCCCCAAUCUGUGGUGCAAUAUGUGGUCUGACACAGCUGGACACCAGGCAGCACUUGGCCACCAGCCCUUCUGGCUGGACUCCUCCCCAAGGUAGGGUUUACCCUCACAUAAAAUUGCCAACCAGGGCCCACUUGGGUAUAGAACUAAUUUAGCCUCCUGUACACUUGAUGAAUGAAGAAUUUCCUCUGGGGACUAAAUUAUAGGGCUUGUUGGAGUUGCUCUUUCGUGAUCUGUUAUUUGGAGGUAAUUUUCCAAAAGGGCUGGAACACAUGGCCAUGAGCUAGAAUAGGAUUCACCAUGAACAGCUGCCACGCGCUGGCCGGCACAUCCCAGUGCCCUUGUCCUCUCCCCCAGCCUCCCCUGCCACUACCCCUGCUUCCCGAGAGAGGAGGUCCAGACAACAGGGCUGGACUUAACGUUAGAUCUUUACUUUCCUUCUUAAUUAAACCACUAGAAUGGAAUCUGCCCACCUUUUUCUGCACCCAGGUUUCCAGAAAUGUAACAUCUUGUCGUAACACGUUUCAAAACAGAUGACAGGCCUUCCCCUCAUCCUCCAAUGUGGCUGAUUACAAGCUUCUGUCAAAUUCCACCAACCCCCACCAACCCACCCCAGUUGGCUGGAAGAUAAGCUUCUGAUCUUCCCUUGGCUUUUUGAACUGUUGGAAGCUGUGUAAACACAAGCUGCAGGUUAGUCAGAUUCUAUUUGACCCACGGCCUGCUGAGUGCAAAGAGAUUACAUUUGAACACUCCCUUGUCUAAUUAAGCAAUGGUGACCUAUUGCGGGGUGCUUGCUGAUGAGGUCAAAUAGCAAGGGUUUUUAGGCUGACCUGUUGCAGCUGGUCAUUUGCUGAUAAAUAAGAAACAGCUAGUUUUUAGUGAGCCAACUUCCCGACAGAGCCUUCCUUUCAUAAAGCACUCUAAUUUGGUUAUUUCUCUGAAUUUCUUAAGUGAGUUUCAGUACUUUAGAAAAAUUUUUAGUACUGAGAGUAACAGACAUUUGUCCUAUGAUGGAAACCCUUCUUCGCACAGCAGUGCCCCUUCAAAGGAUCUACAAACUGUUAUGCUGUGCCUCUAGAUCUUUUUAGACCACCAACUUCUUCAAAAUUGUGAAAGAUGAAGGUCAUUUUGAAUGUUGACAUUUGGAUGGGAUAUGAUGGUGAUAGUGGGACAGGAAGCCCCAAGAAAUAGAUCUCAAGACCUUGACCUAGCUACAUAAUCAGAAUCAUUUAUUGAGCAUCUGCUCUGUAGUAGACGCUGUUGUAGGAUCUUUUAAUCUUUAUCUCCACUCCUUACCAUGAUCGUCACAGCAAGUGCCAUUAUCCUUGUUUCAUUGCUAAGAUUCCUGAAGCAUAAAGAGGUCAG
This 2367-nucleotide long non-coding RNA is filed under the name Homo sapiens (human). RNAcentral's name for it is "HSALNT0264002". The record is from RNAcentral. Lineage: Eukaryota; Metazoa; Chordata; Mammalia; Primates; Hominidae.